AAUGCAUCCCUGGAUCAUAGCAGACUCUGCCUAUAGAGGCCUGGGGUCCCUUUGGCAGCACUUUUGUCAAGAAAGUAGAGUUGUGGACAACCAACUGCACAGGUUGGGUGGCUUUGAAGAACAAGCUGCCAUGAAUCCUACAGCUACAAGGAAAUGAACUCUGUUAACUUGAGUGAGCUUAAAACUAGAUCCUUCCCCAGUCAAGCCUCCAGGUGAGAGAGAAUUCAAUCCUGGCUGGCACCUGGAUUGCAGCUUACAGAAGACCCAGCUAAGGCCAUGUCUGGACUUUAAAUCCACAGGAACUGUGAGAUGGUAUCAGAAGUGGGACCUGCAGUGGGGCAUCUAGCAACCCCCAGGAGCAUUGAGUGACCAGGCAUGGUACCCACUGGGCUCAGGGUGUCCAUUGUUCUCUCGAAGCAACUGAGAAUUGUGGAUAUUCUUUGUUAUUCCAUCAUCAUCUCAAACCUCUUGGGUAUAGUGUUUGAAUGCUACUCUGACCAUAAAUUCCAAUAAAACCUAGGAAAAAAUGAAACUACUAUAU
Molecule: long non-coding RNA, 541 nt
Filed under: Pongo abelii (Sumatran orangutan)
Lineage: Eukaryota; Metazoa; Chordata; Mammalia; Primates; Hominidae
Description: lincRNA
Source: RNAcentral